CGCGGUCAGGCCAGGCCGGGUCCAAUUAGGGGACUCACAGCCUGCCCCGCUGUGCACCCCGAGGAGGCCCGGCCCCUGUGUCCAAUCCGGAAGUCGCAGGGAAGUGGGGAGGUCAGGAUGGUGGCGCCCGCGGCUCGGGUCUUCCUCCGGGCAGUGCGCGCGGCUCUCACUUCCACGGUCCCGGACCUGCUCUGCCUCCUGGCCCGAGGCUCCCCGCGUGGCCUCGCGUCUGGUCGCCUACCCCUCGCGGUCCACUCCGCCCAGCAUGGACCUGGAUCCGGGGCGCCUUGGUUGCGAAUUGCCAGGAGGGCCCUGAGAUUUGUGUUGUCAAAACACUGGGGGGAUGAUUGUUACCUGACAAACCGCCUCUGGCAGGACCUGAAGCCUCCCAGUCACGUCGAGAACGGGCAGGAGCUCAGGUUGGCGCCGCCGGUGCAGUGGGCAUUACAGGUGCAAGGGAACCAGUUGCAAACUGCAGUGCUGUGCUUGAGGAUGGCUCCUCCUGAGCCGGCAGGCUCCCGCCAAAGAAUUUAGAACGAGUCUACGUGGACACGCAAGUUUCAGCGAGCGGGGAUUUCCUGCGAGGCCGAGCGCGAGGAACAGCCGGCCCCGGAGGCUCGGGCUCGGGGUCUCCCCGGGGACGCGGCCGACUGAGAAGGCCGGGGCGCUCGCCGGGCGCGGCGCCGUCCUCCGUGUCGCGGGGACGGAAGGAGGCGACGCAGGCCAGGAGUCGUGCGCGCGGGCGGCGAGGGGGCGCUGUGGCCCGUGUCUGCCGGCCCGAGUCCCGGCAACGGUGGGCGCGACCCACCUCCUCCCCCGGCGGCUUAAUUCGGGGAAGAAGAAAAAACGGCAUCGAGGCAUUUCAAUAAAACCUAAGCGACUCCUGAUCC
Molecule: long non-coding RNA, 890 nt
Filed under: Homo sapiens (human)
Lineage: Eukaryota; Metazoa; Chordata; Mammalia; Primates; Hominidae
Description: IRX2 divergent transcript
Source: RNAcentral